Molecule: ribosomal RNA, 546 nt
Filed under: uncultured bacterium
Lineage: Bacteria
Description: bacterial SSU rRNA
Rfam family: Bacterial small subunit ribosomal RNA
Source: RNAcentral
AAUAGAUACCCUGGUAGUCCACGCCGUAAACGAUGAGUGCUAAGUGUUAGGGGGUUUCCGCCCCUUAGUGCUGCAGCUAACGCAUUAAGCACUCCGCCUGGGGAGUACGGUCGCAAGACUGAAACUCAAAGGAAUUGACGGGGGGCCCGCACAAGCGGUGGAGCAUGUGGUUUAAUUCGAAGCAACGCGAAGAACCUUACCAGGUCUUGACAUCCCAUUGACCACUAUGGAGACAUAGUUUUCCCUUCGGGGACAACGGUGACAGGUGGUGCAUGGUUGUCGUCAGCUCGUGUCGUGAGAUGUUGGGUUAAGUCCCGCAACGAGCGCAACCCUUGUUCUUAGUUGCCAUCAUUUAGUUGGGCACUCUAAGGAGACUGCCGGUGACAAACCGGAGGAAGGUGGGGAUGACGUCAAAUCAUCAUGCCCCUUAUGACCUGGGCUACACACGUGCUACAAUGGACGGUACAAACGGUUGCCAACCCGCGAGGGGGAGCUAAUCCGAUAAAACCGUUCUCAGUUCGGAUUGUAGGCUGCAACUCGCCUACA